CUCGAAACUAUUAUGAUAAACUUAGAUUUAGCUGAGAGCUAAUUAAUAAAAAGGCUUUUUAAAAAAAAUCUAAGUAGAAUGGAUAACAUUAUCGGAUAUAGUAAUAGCUAGUUAAAAAGUAGUAUAGUCAUGUAAAUUUUACGAGUAAAUCUCGUAUAAAAGUCAAACUAAAAUUUAAAAUAUAGAAACAUCAAAGGCGAGGAGUACCUAAGAUAAAAAAGUGUUUCUACUUUAUAAAUUUUUAAAUAGGGUUUUUUAAAACUUUUUAAUAUAAUUAAAAAAAAAUAAUGCUGGAAUAAGUAUAAUAAUAAUUUUUUAGGAACUCAAGAAUAAUUCCAACUGUUUAGCAAAAACAUUUUCUUUAGAAAAAAUUAAAGAUAAAGCCUGCUCAAUGUGAUAAUAAAUAGCCGCGGUAUCUUAACUGCGCGAAGGUAGCAUAAUUAAUUGUCUUUUAAAUGGUGACUUGUUUGAACGGCUUACUGAGGGUUUUUCUUUCUUAAAAAUUUAAGAAUUUAUUUUCUAGGGUUAAAAAACCUAGGUCAAAAAGAAAGAAGAGAAGACCCUGAUGAGUUUUACAGUAACUAAUUCUGUUUGAAUGGGGCAUUCCGAUUUUUAUUAAAUUCGUUUGUGAUCCUACUUUGAGGAUAAAGGUUAAAAUUACCACAGGGAUAACAGGACAAGCUUUGCUGAGAGUACUUAUUAAAGCAAAGGAUUGUUACCUCGAUGUUGAAUCAAAAUUUACUAAUUGGUGCAGAAGUUAAUAUAGUAGGUCUGUUCGACCUUUAAAUUUUUACGUGAUUUGAGUUAAGACCGGCGAGAGCCAGGUUGGCUUCUAUCUUCUAUAGAGAGAUUUUUGUACGAAAGGAACAAAUCU
This 874-nucleotide ribosomal RNA is filed under the name Prosthiostomum siphunculus. RNAcentral's name for it is "16S ribosomal RNA". The stretch from base 546 to 841 matches the Rfam family "Bacterial large subunit ribosomal RNA", at positions 2074 to 2646 of the family's 2925-position model. The record is from RNAcentral. Lineage: Eukaryota; Metazoa; Platyhelminthes; Polycladida; Prosthiostomidae.